This 407-nucleotide ribosomal RNA is filed under the name uncultured bacterium. Its description in RNAcentral is "partial 16S ribosomal RNA". It matches the Rfam family "Bacterial small subunit ribosomal RNA", at positions 28 to 526 of the family's 1533-position model. The record is from RNAcentral.
GACGAACGCUGGCGGCAGGCCUAACACAUGCAAGUCGAGCGGAGCGGCGGACGGGAGAGUAAUGCCUAGGAAUCUGCCUGGUAGUGGGGGGUAACGUCCGGAAACGGGCGCUAAUUCCGCAUACUAUCAGUUUAGCCUAGGUCGGAUUGGCUGGUUGGGGGGGUAAAGGCCUACCAAGGCGAGGAUCCGUAACUGGUCUGAGAGGAGGAUCAGUCACAUGGGAACUGAGAAAGGGCCAAGACUCCUACGGGAGGGAGCAGUGGGGAAUAUGGGAAAAUGGGCGAAAGCCUGAUCCAGCAAUGCCGGGUGUGGGAAGAAGGUCUUCGGAUUGUAAAGUACUUUAAGUUGGGAGGCGUUACCAACAGAAUAAGCACCGGCUAACUACGUGCCAGCAGCCGCGGUAAUAC